This 107-nucleotide small nuclear RNA is filed under the name Cercocebus atys (sooty mangabey). The record is from RNAcentral. Lineage: Eukaryota; Metazoa; Chordata; Mammalia; Primates; Cercopithecidae.
UUGCUCACUUUGGUAGCACAUAUACUAAAAUUGAAAUGAUACAGAGAAGAUUAGCAUGGCCUCUGUGCAAGGAUGACAUGCAAAUUUGUGAAGCAUUUCAUAUAUUU